Pelodiscus sinensis (Chinese soft-shelled turtle) is the source of this 1139-nucleotide non-coding RNA. Lineage: Eukaryota; Metazoa; Chordata; Testudines; Trionychidae. The record is from RefSeq and is a predicted model, not a curated record.
AUGCUCCCAUCUCCACCCAGCGCCUCCAGCAAACCCGCCGGGGCAGCUGCCCGCCUGUCCCAGGGAUGCCGGGUGUGUGCAUCUGUACACGUGUGCCAAGACUGAGCUGCGCACAGACGCACACCUGGCACUAGCCACUCACACAGGAGCCAAAUAGUUAGGUGGAGCCAAAUUUUCAAAGCCAGGCAGGCGCAACUGCGCACAGGUGCAUGCACCUGGUGAAGUCGUACAUGCUGAUCCCUAGUCAUAGAAUCGUAGCGCUGGAAGAGACCUCAGGAGGUCAUCAAGUCCAGCCCCCUGCCAAGGCAGGACCAAUCCAACUGGGUGAGGAUUGAUCUCUUGGUACAUAACUGGCCAGGGCAGUAUUUCUCCCCCCAGGCAUGUGCCAGGCCUUGAUGUGUGGACACACACCUUGGGAAUCUGUGCCUGCAAUUCCCCGAUGGGCACACCUGGGCCUCGGGCAGCCUUCCGUGCAGGGGCUAACUGCACUUGGGGCAUCAGCAGGGCUCGGGCAAACCAGCAUGCGCAGUUGCAUCCGCCCACUGUUGAAAAUCUGGCCCCUGAGGUGCAAGAUAAAUGAUCGUAAAAGGAAACUGCAUCCGUUCUGCUCAGCUCUCCCCAGCCAGGAGCACCCGCUGCCAUUUCUGCAAGCUGGGCAUUGCGGGUGAAGAAUUGAAUGUGGCAUGGAGGCGUACAGGGCAGCGCUGGGUCUAAUCACACCUGCAAGAUGCUGUCAGAGGGCCCGAUCCUCAUAAACCUAGUCUCAACCCUCAGUUUCUCAAGCCCCGUGUGGGAUCAGGCUCCCAGAGAACUGCUGGCAUCUGCUGCCGGAUUGGCUUCAUGUUAGAUGUUUAAACAAGAAACAAUUUGUUUGAAUGUCAAGCUAGAAAACUCUCCUUCUAACUGCAGAGCGCCGCCUGAUCUCCCUGCCUCCGGACACCGCUUGGAGUUUCACUGCGGCCAAGGUUUUGAAAAGUGGCUACUGAUUUUGGACAUCCAGUUGGAGACACCACAGAGGGGCCUGGCUUUCAGAGAAGAGAGUACUCCUUCACACAACGCACCGUGAACCUGUGGAACUCCUCGCCAGAGGACUUUGUGAAGUUCACAGGGUUAAAAAAAUAGCUAGAUAAAUUCAUGGA